This 223-nucleotide non-coding RNA is filed under the name Vreelandella titanicae. Lineage: Bacteria; Pseudomonadati; Pseudomonadota; Gammaproteobacteria; Oceanospirillales; Halomonadaceae. The record is from RNAcentral. RNAcentral also lists the same sequence under 7 other names.
AGCUUACGCCCACUCUCAGGUGCUGGCGGUGGAUUAAAGCCGCUAGUGAAACGGGAAGUUGGUGAACGCUUUGCGUGAUUCCAACGCUGCCCCCGCAACGGUGAUCGAGAUAAGAACGGCUAAGACGCCACUGUGCUAACGCACGGGAAGGUGGUCGUUCGGAAAGAAUGAAGACAUCUUUCGCUCGUCAGCCCGGAGACCGGCCCGAGAGUAAUGGUUCAAC